This 2431-nucleotide long non-coding RNA is filed under the name Cyanistes caeruleus (blue tit). RNAcentral's name for it is "lncRNA (ENSCCEG00000003481.1)". Lineage: Eukaryota; Metazoa; Chordata; Aves; Passeriformes; Paridae. The record is from RNAcentral.
GGUUCCAGUCCCGAAUUUUGGGAAUUUUGGGGAAUUUUGGGGAAUUUUUGGGACUUUUGGGAGGGUUUGGUGUGGAAAUGCGGGAAUUUUGGGAUUUUGGGGGGGAUUUUGGGGAAAUUUUGGGGGAAUUUUGGGAUUUUUUUGGAUAAAAAUUGGGAAUUUUGGGGGUUCCAGUCUCAAAUUUUGGGAAUUUUGGGGAAUUUUGGGAAAUUUUGGGGAUUUUUUUUUUAAUUUUGGGAAUUUUGGGAAUUUUAGGAGGGUUUGGGGUGGAAAUUUGGGAAUUUUGGGAUUUUUUGGGGGAAUUUUGGGAUUUUUUGGAUAAAAAUUGGGAAUUUGGGGUAGUUCCAGUCCCGAAUUUUGGGAAUUUUGGGGAAUUUUGGGGAAUUUUGGGAAUUUUUGGGACUUUUGGGAGGGUUUGGGGUGGAAAUUUGGGAAUUUUGGGAUUUUUUGGGAGGGAUUUUGGGGAAAUUUUGGGAUUUUUUGGGGGAAUUUUGGGAUUUUCUGGAUAAAAGUUGGGGAUUUUGGGGGGUUCCAGUCCCGAAUUUGGGGGAUUUUGGGGAAUUUUGGGGAAUUUGGGGGAAUUUUGGGAAUUUUGGGGAAUUUUGGGAGGGUUUGGGGUGGAAAUUGGGGAAUUUUGGGAUUUUUUGGGUUGAAUUUUGGGGGAAUUUUGGGAUUUUCUGGAUAAAAAUUGGGAAUUUUGGGGGGUCCCAGUCCCGAAUUUUGGGAAUUUGGGGGAAUUUUUGGGGAAUUUUUUGGGAAUUUUUUGGGGAUUUUUGGGGAAUUUUUUGGGAAUUUUUUGGGAAUUUUUUUGGAAUUUUGGGGGGAUUUUUUGGGGAUUUUUUGGGAAUUUUUUUGGAAUUUUUUGGGAAUUUUUUGGGAAUUUUUUGGGAAUUUUUGGGGAAUUUUUUGGGAAUUUUUUGGGAAUUUUGGGGGAAUUUUUUGGGAAUUUUUGGGGGAUUUUUUGGGAAUUUUUUGGGAAUUUUGGGGGAAUUUUGGGGAAAAUUUUUGGGGAAUUUUGGGGGAAUUUUUUUUGGAAUUUUGGGAAAUUUUUUGGGAAUUUUUUGGGGAUUUUUUGGGGAAUUUUUGGGGAAAAUUUUUGGGGAAUUUUUUGGAAUUUUUUGGGAAAUUUUUGGGAAUUUUUUGGAAUUUUGGGGGAAUUUUGGGGAAAAUUUUUGGGGAAUUUUGGGGGAAUUUUGGGGGGAUUUUUUGGGAAUUUUUUGGGAAUUUUGGGGGAAUUUUGGGGAAAAUUUUUGGGGAAUUUUUGAGGAAUUUUUUGGGAAUUUUUUGGGAAUUUUUUGGGAAUUUUUUGGGAAUUUUUGGGAAUUUCUCCCCCCUCCAGGGCAGCCCCGGCCCCCAAGGCCCGAACGGAUUCCCCGGCCCCAAAGGGCCCCCCGGACCCCCCGGAAAAGACGGAAUUCCAGGACACCCCGGGCAGAGAGGAGACGCCGUGAGUGACCCAAAAAUCCCAAAUUUCACCCAAAAUCCAGCCAAAAAAUUCCCAAAAAAUCUUCUUGGAAAAUCCCCAAAAUCCCUGAGUCCAAAAUAUCCCAAAAAUCCCAAAUUUUCACCCAAAAUCCAGCCCUAAAAUUCCCCAAAAUUCUUCUUGGAAUUCCCAAAUUUCCCCCCAAAAUUCCCAAUUUUCCCCCCAAAAUCCCCCCAAAAAAUCCCAAAAUCCCCCCCAAAAUUCCCAAAUUUCCCCUCAAAUCCCCCCAAAAAAUCCCAAAAUCCCCCCAAAAUUCCCAAAUUCCUCCUAAAAUUCCCAAAUUUCCCCCUAAAAUCCCCCAAAAUUCCCAAAUUUUCCCUCAAAUCCUCCCAAAAAAUCCCAAAAUCCCCCCAAAAUUCCCAAAUCCCCCCAAAAUACCCAAAAUCCCCACAAAAUUCAGUGAUUUCCCCUCAAAUCCCAAAAUCUUCCCAAAAUUCUCAAAUUUCCCCCUCAAAUCCCCCAAAAUUCCCAAAUUUCCCCUCAAAUCCCCCCAAAAAAUCCCAAAAUCCCCCCAAAAUUCCCAAAUUCCUCCUAAAAUUCCCAAAUUUCCCCCUAAAAUCCCCCAAAAUUCCCAAGUUUUCCCUCAANNNNNNNNNNNNNNNNNNNNAUUUUGGGGGAAUUUUGGGGAAAAUUUUUGGGGAAUUUUGGGGGAAUUUUGGGGGGAUUUUUUGGGAAUUUUUUGGGAAAUUUUUGGGGAAUUUUGGGGGAAUUUUGGGGAAAAUUUUUGGGGAAUUUUUGGGGAAUUUUUUGGGAAUUUUUUGGGAAUUUUUUGGGAAUUUUUUGGGAAUUUUUUGGGAAAUUUUUUGGGAAUUUUUGGGAAUUUCUCCCCCUCCAGGGCAGCCCCGGCCCCCAAGGCCCGAACGGAUUCCCCGGCCCCAAAGGGCCCCCCGUGAGUACCAAAAAAACCCCAAAUUUUGGGGCAAAAAACCCAAAUUUUGGGAAAAGAAA